CGUGUCACCGGCUUUUUCCUUGACAGGAAAGUUCGCAGACACACGAUGGCACGCAACACGUUGUUUUUAACAAACUUCAAGAUCUUUUCAAGGACAGCAGCCCGAAUUCAAGGCAAGUGACAAAGUAGAUGCAGCAGGGCCUUACCAGACAAACCAGUGGAGCCAGUGACCGAAUCAACCAGUUUACAAAUUAAAGAGCUGGGGGCUACUCAGAAAAGAAGAAACAGGAGAUGGGUCUCAGAUAGAGAGUGUCAUAGUUCUGUGUUUUAAAAAAUAGUCAGACAUUUUUGGUGAUUUAUGUAUAGUCAGUGAAUCAUUUUUCAAUGAUUAUAAAACUUUAUUGUUUAA
Carassius gibelio (silver crucian carp) is the source of this 348-nucleotide long non-coding RNA. RefSeq lists it as uncharacterized. NCBI's taxonomy places the organism in Eukaryota, Metazoa, Chordata, Actinopteri, Cypriniformes, Cyprinidae. The transcript has 2 exons. The record is from RefSeq and is a predicted model, not a curated record.